AUUAAACUGAAGAGUUUGAUCCUGGCUCAGAUUGAACGCUGGCGGUAUGCUUAACACAUGCAAGUCGAACGGAAACGAUGGUAGCUUGCUACCAGGCGUCGAGUGGCGGACGGGUGAGUAACGCGUAGGAAUCUGCCUGAUAGUGGGGGAUAGCCCAGAGAAAUCUGGAUUAAUACCGCAUAAUCUCUAUGGAGUAAAGGAGCCCUCUUCUUGAAAGGUUUCGCUAUCAGAUGAGCCUGCGUAAGAUUAGCUUGUUGGUGAGGUAAAAGCUCACCAAGGCGACGAUCUUUAGCUGGUCUGAGAGGAUGA
RNAcentral lists this ribosomal RNA (309 nucleotides) under Gammaproteobacteria bacterium. Its description in RNAcentral is "partial 16S ribosomal RNA". It matches the Rfam family "Bacterial small subunit ribosomal RNA", at positions 1 to 303 of the family's 1533-position model. Lineage: Bacteria; Pseudomonadati; Pseudomonadota; Gammaproteobacteria. The record is from RNAcentral.